AACGAACGCUGGCGGUAUGCUUAACACAUGCAAGUCGAACGAACAAAAUUGGGGCUUGCUCCAAUUUUAGUGAGUGGCAAACGGGUGAGUAACACGUGGGAAUCUACCUAUCAGUACGGAAUAACAUUUGGAAACAGAUGCUAAUACCGUAUAUUCUCCAAGGAGGAAAGAUUUAUCGCUGAUAGAUGAGCCCGCGCAAGAUUAGGUAAUUGGUAGGGUAAUGGCCUACCAAGCCUACGAUCUUUAGCGGGUCUGAGAGGAUGAUCAGCCACACUGGGACUGAGACACGGCCCAAACUCCUACGGGAGGCAGCAGUGGGGAAUAUUGGACAAUGGGCGAAAGCCUGAUCCAGCGAUACCGCGUGAAUGAUGAAGGCCUUAGGGUUGUAAAGUUCUUUUAGUUGGAAAGAUAAUGACGGUACCAACAGAAAAAGCCCCGGCUAACUCCGUGCCAGCCGCCGCGGUAA
RNAcentral lists this ribosomal RNA (466 nucleotides) under uncultured bacterium. RNAcentral describes it as "partial 16S ribosomal RNA". It matches the Rfam family "Bacterial small subunit ribosomal RNA", at positions 29 to 523 of the family's 1533-position model. The record is from RNAcentral.